UUAAAUUUAUAUGCAUUGCAUAUUUAUUUAAUUUAGCAAUCAAAGCAUUUUCACGAGCUUUUAUUUAAGCAAACACUGAAGAAUUAUUACAGUUUUCAUAGUACAACCUGGAAGACUUUUUAUUUUAUUUUAUCUUAUUUUAUUUUAUUUUUUUUUCCUACACCUACUCCCACCACUAACUCCUCUACUGCAGCACAUCACCAACUUUCCUACUGCAAUACACCCACUACACCUACUCCUUUACAGGCAAUCAAAUCAUUACAUAUCUUAGCAAAUCUUAUCCCAAAUUUUAGCAGAUCUUAUGCAGGAUCUUUACAGCUCCUUGCAGGAUCUUUACAGCUCCCCAAGACUCCUCUGUUGUUUCAAAGAUAUACAACAGCCAAGCUCUCUCUCACUUAUUCCACCAAAAUAUUUUCGUAAGGCCCCUUCACCAAAUUUCUCAACCUGCAGCAAGCUUCUUUCUACAGCAAUAAGAAUCUAAGUUCUUUUCCUCUUGAUUGUGCAGUAACAACUCCCUAGCAAAGCAAAGAGCUUCAAAGGCUUUGUGGACCAAGGGGAUUAGCACUGUUUUCCCAAGACAGGUUAUGUGAUUAUGAUCUUCAGGCUUUGCCUAUCCAGCUCCUUGCAGGAUCUUUACAGCUCCCCAAGACUCCUCUGUUGUUUCAAAGAUAUACAACAGCCAAGCUCUCUCUCACUUAUUCCACCAAAAUAUUUUCGUAAGGCCCCUUCACCAAAUUUCUCAACCUGCAGCAAGCUUCUUUCUACAGCAAUAAGAAUCUAAGUUCUUUUCCUCUUGAUUGUGCAGUAACAACUCCCUAGCAAAGCAAAGAGCUUCAAAGGCUUUGUGGACCAAGGGGAUUAGCACUGUUUUCCCAAGACAGGUUAUGUGAUUAUGAUCUUCAGGCUUUGCCUAUCCAGGUUGAGCAGUUGAUGGAAUGGAAUGAUGUUGAGCGGGUGUUCCUUUGACAUUUCAAGAAAUGUAACCUUGAGUAUACAUCUUCAUAUGUAUAUCUCACACGUUUUCCGCUGCAAAACACUUUGAUUAGGAUAACUCUAUGUUAUGAAGUUGUGACACGUGUUAUUGGGUAACCCACCUUAAUCAGUUCUCCUUUAUGUGUAUGUGUUAUAAGUAUCCAAAUGAUCAUAUAUGAUCCUAGCUUUUUAUUUAU
Long non-coding RNA from Salvia miltiorrhiza (redroot sage), 1169 nucleotides. RefSeq lists it as uncharacterized. NCBI's taxonomy places the organism in Eukaryota, Viridiplantae, Streptophyta, Magnoliopsida, Lamiales, Lamiaceae. The transcript is spliced from 5 exons. The record is from RefSeq and is a predicted model, not a curated record.